This 107-nucleotide small nuclear RNA is filed under the name Tupaia belangeri (northern tree shrew). The record is from RNAcentral. Lineage: Eukaryota; Metazoa; Chordata; Mammalia; Scandentia; Tupaiidae.
GUGCUCACUUCAGCAGCACAUAUACUAAAAUUGGAACAACACACAGAAAAUUAGCAUGACCCCUGCACAAGGAUGACACGCUAAUUUGUGAAGUAUUUCAUAUUUUU